Molecule: transfer RNA, 73 nt
Filed under: Opisthorchis viverrini
Lineage: Eukaryota; Metazoa; Platyhelminthes; Trematoda; Opisthorchiida; Opisthorchiidae
Rfam family: tRNA
About the family: Transfer RNA (tRNA) molecules are approximately 80 nucleotides in length. Their secondary structure includes four short double-helical elements and three loops (D, anti-codon, and T loops).
Source: Rfam by way of RNAcentral
GCCUCCAUAGCUCAGUGGAUAUAGCGCUGGUCUAGUAAACCAAGGGUCAGCAACGCGAUAUUCCCUGGAGGCA